GACUUGACAUCUCCUGAAUUACUCUUAAUCGAGGAAGUCCCUUCGGGGACAGGAAGACAGGUGGUGCAUGGUUGUCGUCAGCUCGUGUCGUGAGAUGUUGGGUUAAGUCCCGCAACGAGCGCAACCCUUAUUGUUAGUUGCUACUAUUAAGUUAAGCACUCUAACGAGACUGCCGCGGUUAACGUGGAGGAAGGUGGGGAUGACGUCAAAUCAUCAUGCCCCUUAUGUCUAGGGCUACACACGUGCUACAAUGGCUGGUACAACGAGCAGCAAACCCGCGAGGGGGAGCAAAACUUGAAAGCCAGUCCCAGUUCGGAUUGUAGGCUGAAACUCGCCUACAUGAAGUUGGAGUUGCUAGUAAUCGCGAAUCAGCAUGUCGCGGUGAAUACGUUCCCGGGUCUUGUACACACCGCCCGUCACACCAUGAGAGCCGGUAACACCCGAAGCCCGUGAGGUAACCGUAAGGAGCCAGCGGUCGAAGGUGGGAUUGGUGAUUGGGGUGAAGUCGUAACAAGGUAGCCGUAUGAGAACCUGCGGCUGGAUCACCUCCUUUCUAGGGA
This 560-nucleotide ribosomal RNA is filed under the name Clostridium botulinum C. RNAcentral's name for it is "bacterial SSU rRNA". It matches the Rfam family "Bacterial small subunit ribosomal RNA", at positions 978 to 1533 of the family's 1533-position model. The record is from RNAcentral. Lineage: Bacteria; Bacillati; Bacillota; Clostridia; Eubacteriales; Clostridiaceae.